CUGAUUCUAGUGUGAAAAGUCAGGGAGCAGGACUGAUUCUAGUGUUAAAAGGCAGGUCUGAUUCUAGUGUUAAAAGUCAGGGAGCAGGUCUGAUUCUAGUGUGAAAAGUCAGGGAGCAGGACUGAUUCUAGUGUUAAAAGUCAGGGAGCAGGAUUGAUUCUAGUGUUAAAAGUCAGGGAGCAGGUCUGAUUCUAGUGUUAAAAGUCAGGGAGCAGGACUGAUUCUAGUGUUAAAAGUCAGAGAGCAGGUCUGAUUCUAGUGUUAAAAGUCAAGGAGCAGGUCUGAUUCUAGUGUUAAAAGGCAAAUCCUGCACUUUUCAACCUCAUAUUCAUCCUCUCCAGCACCAAAACAGUAUAUAUAUUUCUGAAAACAGCACCUUUCACAUUUCUAUGAUCUGUAGUUUAAAAAAAUG
This 412-nucleotide long non-coding RNA is filed under the name Salmo salar (Atlantic salmon). RNAcentral's name for it is "lncRNA (ENSSSAG00000120359.1)". The record is from RNAcentral. Lineage: Eukaryota; Metazoa; Chordata; Actinopteri; Salmoniformes; Salmonidae.